AUGAAGACAACUCGGCUCCCAGCGGAGAAGAGUCCCGAGUGUCACAGCACAGUAACAUGUAGCUUUGCCUUUGCCCAUCAAAGUGGAAAUGAAGGAAAAGAAAGCAGCAAGAUUUUAGGGCUGCAGAGCGGCGGCCGCGGCUCGGCGGGAGCGCGGGCGGGAGCGGCCGAGACCGUGGCUGGAGGCAAAGCUGGAAGGACAGUGGGAAGGCCAAAGCUAAGGCAGUGUCUCGCUCACAGAGAGCUGGGCUGCAGUUUCCUGUGGGCCGCAUCCACAGACAUUUGAAGACUCGUACCACGAGCCACGGAAGGGUCGGUGCCACUGCUGCAGUGCAUAGUGCUGCCAUUCUGGAGCACCUCACUGCCGAGGCGCUGGAGCUGGCAGGUACUGCUUCCAAGGAUCUUAAAGUAAAGCGGAUCGCUCCGCGUCACUUGCAGCUUGCGAUCCGUGGUGAUGAAGAGUUGGAUUCUCUUAUCAAGGCUACCAUAGCUGGGGGUGGUAUGAUUCCUCACAUCCACAAGUCUCCAGUUGGAAAGAAGGGACAGCAGAAAACUGCUUAGAGAGGUGUUUUAACCAACCCUCUUCCUCCCCAUCAUUGUACUGUAACUGAGAGAAGAAAUAAUGGGGAUAUGUGGAAUUUUUAAAACAGUUAAAUGGAAAAGCAUAGACAAUUACUAUAGACAUCAUAAAAGAAACAUUUGUACGUUCUUAGACUCGAAGUUUGAUAAAAGUACCUUUUCGUGCGGCAACAGUUGUGUUGAUUGGCUAGAUUUCUCCCAUGUGUUUUAUACAAAAAUGGAGUUGAUAAACCACUUUUUACAAAAA
Non-coding RNA from Ceratotherium simum simum (southern white rhinoceros), 825 nucleotides. The record is from RefSeq and is a predicted model, not a curated record. NCBI's taxonomy places the organism in Eukaryota, Metazoa, Chordata, Mammalia, Perissodactyla, Rhinocerotidae.